Molecule: long non-coding RNA, 1125 nt
Filed under: Oryctolagus cuniculus (rabbit)
Lineage: Eukaryota; Metazoa; Chordata; Mammalia; Lagomorpha; Leporidae
Description: lncRNA (ENSOCUG00000037472.1)
Source: RNAcentral
AUGGACUUGUUCAAGGUCUCCCGACAGGCUUCAGGGGGAUGGUCAGCAGUCAGAGUGAAGCCUCCUGUGUCCCGUCAUGUUCACUGGCAUCCCGUGGGCUCAGAGGCAUGGAGGAGAAGCAAGGAAGAAGACGAAAGGAAUGACAGGCGGGGAAAAAGAGGAGGGAGGAGAGAAAGGAAGAACCACAUGGGAAAUGGAGAGCUCCAUAGACCCCUGGCAGUGGCCCAGUGUUACCCCGUCAACAUCUGUGGUGUGUUUUAUCGCGUGGAGCAUCCGAGGCCAUUUAGACAAAAGAACUGGGGAAUCAAAGCCCCGAAGAAUCCAAUUAGAAGAGGAAGCUCUACUUCCCAUGCGCAUCUAAGGAGACCCAUUUUCCAGUCAAUGUCAUUACCGUCGCUCAGUGGGGGAGCAUCCUUCUCUGAACGUCUCCUGCACUAGGACCUUCUGAUGAUGAUGGUGUAAGGAAAAAUCCAGCAGAUGAGCACACCGGAGGAUAAGGAGAACCCCGCACCGUGACAUGUCCAAUGAACUGUUUAAUUGGAAAGGAUUUUAUGGGAGACAGCGGCUGCCCUCCCGGCUCUCCAGCUAUGAUGGGAAGUUAUGGAGUGUCGAUCACAUCCACUCUGCCCACAACCCAGUGGCAGAAUGAAAUCAUAUAAAUGCAAAUUGCGCUGUAAUUAAAGAGGAAAGAGGCAAGAAGCAACAACAUUUAGCUGAGCAUGGCCUUCGGAGUCCUCGCCUGCCUCUGAUAGUCCAGCAGGCUGCUAGCACUGGCUCUGAAUUCCUCCUCUCGCACCAGUGAUGGGGGCACGAGGCUCAGGAUGGGGGUGGCAGGGGUGGCUUUGAGGGAGCCUGCUCCCCGUCAUUUACACACACAGGCACCUGGAGCAGGGGGAAGAUGGAUGGGAGGCCGAGCUCUGAGACACCCCCUGCCAGCUCCUGCUUCUCCCCACCCCUGUCUGUGACCCCCCUCCAGGGCCCCAGCACUGGGCUGUGAUGGAAAGAAGGAACAGGAGUGUUUUCACUGGCGGCAAUCACACCUAUGUUUUCAGGUUAAUUUUUACAAGUAGUUCUCAGAUUCAAUUCCAAAAUAAUAAAAUAAAUCAACAAGUGAAAGCCUUCCCA